Varroa destructor (honeybee mite) is the source of this 773-nucleotide long non-coding RNA. NCBI's taxonomy places the organism in Eukaryota, Metazoa, Arthropoda, Arachnida, Mesostigmata, Varroidae. The record is from RefSeq and is a predicted model, not a curated record.
UUCUAUAUGCAGUUUUCGGAAUAUUAGCCAACGAAAAACUGCCUGGAGCAUAGGUUCGUUUAUAUAUGGUUCGGUUUCUACCACCAGCCGAAAAGGCACCACACGAAAGAUUGGCGUCGUUCUAAAGUGAAAUCGAUUUCGAUAGCUAUGUCAAGUACGUUCGGACGCAAGGUGAUGCUUGUACUUCAAACGGAUAUCAAGUAUGUGUCGAGUUUGCUAUUUCGAGUUCCUUAAAAGACCCAACGGAUCGUCGACACAGCAGUUGAAAUCUUGGGUCUGACUGCCGGCUGAUAAUAAUGCGGUAUCAGUUUAUCGACAUGCUAGAUCGUGACUCCGCUCUAAAGGAUGUGCUUGUAAUACGGUCCGAUCCGUUCAACUGAAAUUGUAUCUUGGAGGGACGGUGAUACCGCAGACGUCAGCCGUUCCAACGAUAACCCGGAGGCAUCAUGUCAACUAUAUAGCAAUCAUCUCAGUGGUCCAAUGCGCCGAGAGAUACGGGAGCUUGUCUUUUAAGGUCACGUCAUCGGAUUAAUCCGCUGACGACGUGGGACAGGAGCUCGGAUCUGAUGUGUAAAGUGGUGCUAGAAAAGGUGAAAAUUCAUGACGGCCUUAUUUCGUUGCACAAUCUAACGCAUUAUGUUAUGGACACUGGACGUAUCGGAACAGUUUCAGACCCGACUGCAAUUAAAUUGUCUCCCGUGCCGCUUCUAUGUCUGGCCGUGGCCGCCCGCAGAACACCGGCGAGCGAUAAGCGUCAGACCACAUGGUCUGAA